UUUUAUUUUAAAAGCAUUUAAUGAAAAUCUUGGUAAAUUUAAAUGGGCGUUAAAAACGAAAAUUAUAUGUAAGUUAGACUUGUAAUGUAUAAAUUUCCAAAAUCAAAAAGAGUAAACUCUGAAAUUUUUUUGUAGUGAAGUGAAUCAUCUCAGUAACUUAGUAAAAAAAUCAACCGAGAAUUUUGAAAGUAAUGGCGAAUGAAAUCAAUAAAGUUAUUUCCUGGUCAAAUCCUGGUCAAAUCUUUUAUAUUUUCAAGUAGUACGAGUUUAAUUGUAUGAACAAAAGGAGGACCACCUUCUAAAAUUAUUAAAUAAAUUUAACCGAUAGUGCACAAGUACUGUGAAGGAAAGAUUUAAUUUGAAAAAAAUUACUAAAAAUUGAAUGUAUUUACUUUUGAAGUGUUAAACUACAGAUUUCUUUUUGCAUAACGAGCCAAUAAGUUAAAAAUUAAAGCAAGUUAAAGACAUAUUUAAGUUUUAAUUUUUAAACCUGAAACCAAGUGAUCUAAUUGUGAACAAGCUGAAGAUUUUGUAAAAAAUUUCGGAAGGCUAAACUCAUAAAUGUAGCAAAAUUUUGAGAAGAUUUGUAAUUAGGAGUGAAAGGCUAAUCAAACUUGGUUAUAGCCGGUUUUUCACGAAAAGUAUUUUAGUACUACAUUAAUUUUUUUCUUAGUUAGGUAAAGUACAAAAUAACUAAAGGGAAGUAAAGUUUUACUAAAGUUAUUUUAACUCGGAAUUAACUAUAAAAAAUUUAAUAGACAGUUUUUAAGCGAUAAGGUUUAAAAACUAAAGGAAAACAAUCCAGAUCAAUGAUUAAGGUUUUAAAAUUAAUUUUUAGAGAAAAAUUUUUGAAAAUUUCAUAUAGUUUAAUAGGCUUAGAAGCAGCCUUUUAUUAGAAAAUGCGUUAUAGCUUACUAUUAAUAUUUUCAAAAAUAAAAUUUAAGGAAACUAAAAAAUUAUACCGAAAUUUUGAAUUUUUCAAAUGGUAGUGAAACAUUUUAUUAGCUUGAAUACUAAUUGCAAAAUUAAUUAAAUAAAAGUGAUAAUGUUGGCAUGAGUAACGAAAACUUUGUUUAUAAAUCAAAGUCACCAAAUGUUAAAGGUUUUUAAUGUAAUUUAAACUACAUUAAGUUAGUCGGUCUUUAAAAGAUAAGAUAGGUCUAAACUUGAUAAGAAAUUAAAUACUAUUUAUAUGUAGAUAAUAUGAAAAAAGAAUUUUUCUUUCAAGAAAAAAUUAUAAUCUAAAACCGUACUUAAACCGACACAGGUAAACUUGUUAAAUACUAAGGUGAAUGAACAAAUUAUAAUAAAGGAACUAGGCAAAUUAUUUCUGUAAGUUCGCGAAAAAGAAAACCAAAUUUGGUAUAAAACUAAAAAGCAACGACUGUUUACCAAAAACACAGGACUCUGCAAAUUUUUUAAUAUGUAUAGGGUCUGAGACCUGCCCAGUGCUUAAAAACUAAAAAAUUAAACUAUUUGGUUUAAUUAUAAGCUUAAGUAAACGGCGGUUCUAACUAUAAGAAUCCUUAGGUAGCGAAAUUCCUUGACGGGUAAAUUCCGUCCUGCAUGAAUGGUUUAACGAUUGCUUUACUGUCUCUAUUAUAAAUUCAGUGAAAUUACAUUGUCCAUGAAAAUGUGGACAUCUUACAAUAAGACGGAAAGACCCUAGAUCCUUUACUUUUAUUUUACAUUGUAACAAAAUAUUAAAAUAAUAUAGAAUAAAUGGGGGUUUAACGACGAAGUCUGAAAUACCAUUUUCUUUAAUACUGAAAACUAAGUAAAGAAAGUUUACGAUAGUGUAAAAAAGAAAGUUUACUUGGGAUGAGUACCUCCUCAAAAGUAACGGAGGUGUACUAAGGUAAAGAUAUACACGUGUAAUAGCAAAACUUUGCUUAACAAUAAGAUUUAUUAAUCAAAUUGAGAUAUUAAUCAGUUAUAGUGAUCCAAUAUUGUGUGUGGAAACAAUAUUGCGCAACAGUUAAAAGGAACUCUAGGGAUAACAGAUUCAUCGUGACUAAAAGUUCGUAUUAAAGUCACGGUUUGAUACCUCGAUGUCGACUCAUCUUAUCCUGAAAUAGUAGUAUAUUUCAAGGGUCUAGUUGUUCGCUAGUUAAAAAGGUACGUGAGUUGGGUUCAGAACGUCGUGAGACAGUUCGGUCCCUAUCUAUUGUAAGAUCCGAAAAAAAAGCUAAUUAACUUUUAGUACGAGAGGACCAAAGUUUAUUAACCUCUUAUUUAUUGGUUGUGUUAAAUACGCAUUGUCAAAAAGUUACGUUAAACAAUUUAAAUACUGAAUGCAUAAAAGUAUAAAAUUCUUAGCUUUUUUUUCAAAAACUUCUAAUUGACUAUUAAAGAUUGAUCGGUUUAAAACUUUUUUAGUAAUAAAGUCUUUUUUAAAUACGAA
Molecule: ribosomal RNA, 2404 nt
Filed under: Campylaephora sungminbooi
Lineage: Eukaryota; Rhodophyta; Florideophyceae; Ceramiales; Ceramiaceae
Description: Ceramium sungminbooi large subunit ribosomal RNA
Rfam family: Bacterial large subunit ribosomal RNA
Source: RNAcentral